Molecule: ribosomal RNA, 441 nt
Filed under: uncultured bacterium
Lineage: Bacteria
Description: partial 16S ribosomal RNA
Rfam family: Bacterial small subunit ribosomal RNA
Source: RNAcentral
CCUACGGGUGGCAGCAGUGGGGAAUAUUGCACAAUGGGGGGAACCCUGAUGCAGCGACGCCGCGUGGGUGAAGGAGUAUUUCGGUAUGUAAAGCCCUAUCAGCAGGGAAGAACAAUGACGGUACCUUACUAAGAAGCACCGGCUAAAUACGUGCCAGCAACCGCGGUAAUACGUAUGGUGCAAGCGUUAUCCGGAUUUACUGGGUGGAAAGGGAGCGCAGGCGGCGCGUUAAGCCUGGUGUGAAAGCCCGCGGCCCAACCGCGGGACUGCAUUGGGAACUGGCGCGCUGGAGUGCCGGAGGGGUAGGCGGAAUUCCUAGUGUAGCGGUGAAAUGCGUAGAUAUUAGGAGGAACACCAGUGGCGAAGGCGGCCUACUGGACGGUGACUGACGCUGAGGCUCGAAAGCGUGGGGAGCAAACAGGAUUAGAUACCCCGGUAGUC